CAACCCUCAAGCAACUUUUGCUUGGUGUUGGGGAUCGGCCGUUAGACGCCGCCCCCGAAAUCUAUUGGCGAUCUCGCUGUAGCUUCCUAUGCGUAGAAGUAACAUCUCGCAUCUGGAGAGCGGCGCGGUCAUGCCGUAAAACACCCAACUUCUGAAA
RNAcentral lists this unclassified non-coding RNA (157 nucleotides) under uncultured Hypocreales. RNAcentral describes it as "sequence contains ITS2". The record is from RNAcentral. Lineage: Eukaryota; Fungi; Ascomycota; Sordariomycetes; Hypocreales.